UUUGUGCCUUCGGGAACUGUAAGACAGGUGCUGCAUGGCUGUCGUCAGCUCGUGUUGUGAAAUGUUGGGGUUAAGUCCCGCAACGAGCGCAACCCUUAUCCUUAGUUGCCAGCGAUUCGGUCGGAACUCUAGGGAGACUGCCGGUGAUAAACCGGAGGAAGGUGGGGACGACGUCAAGUCAUCAUGGCCUUACGAGUAGGGCUACACACGUGCUACAAUGGUAUGUACAGAGGGAGGCAAGCUGGCGACAGUGAGCGGAUCUCUUAAAGCAUAUCGUAGUCCGGAUUGGAGUCUGCAACUCGACUCCAUGAAGUCGGAAUCGCUAGUAACCGCAAAUCAGAAUGUUGCGGUGAAUACGUUCCCGGGCCUU
Molecule: ribosomal RNA, 370 nt
Filed under: uncultured Alishewanella sp.
Lineage: Bacteria; Pseudomonadati; Pseudomonadota; Gammaproteobacteria; Alteromonadales; Alteromonadaceae
Description: bacterial SSU rRNA
Rfam family: Bacterial small subunit ribosomal RNA
Source: RNAcentral